CAAGUCGAGCGGAAACGAAGAGUAGCUCGCUACUCUGGCGUCGAGCGGCGGACGGGUGAGUAAUGCUUGGCAACAUGCCUUGAGGUGGGGGACAACAGUUGGAAACGACUGCUAAUACCGCAUAAUGUCUACGGACCAAAGGGGGCUUCGGCUUCUCGCCUUUAGAUUGGCCCAUGUGGUAUUAGCUAGUUGGUGAGGUAAUGGCUCACCAAGGCGACGAUCCCUAGCUGGUUUGAGAGGAUGAUCAGCCACACUGGGACUGAGACUCGGCCCAGACUCCUACGGGAGGCAGCAGUGGGGAAUAUUGCACAAUGGGCGCAAGCCUGAUGCAGCCAUGCCGCGUGUGUGAAGAAGGCCUUCGGGUUGUUAAGCACUUUCAGUCAGGAGGAAAGGUUAGUAGAUAAUACCUGCUAGCUGUGACGUUACUGACAGAAGAAGCACCGGCUAACUCCGUGCCAGCAGCCGCGGUAAUACGGAGGGUGCGAGCGUUAAUCAGAAUUACUGGGCGUAAAGCGUACGCAGGCGGUUUGUUAAGCGAGAUGUGAAAGCCCCGGGCUCCACCUGGGAACUGCAUUUCGAACUGGCAAACUAGAGU
RNAcentral lists this ribosomal RNA (595 nucleotides) under adapted facultatively oligotrophic bacteria PAF-3. RNAcentral's name for it is "bacterial SSU rRNA". It matches the Rfam family "Bacterial small subunit ribosomal RNA", at positions 58 to 647 of the family's 1533-position model. The record is from RNAcentral. Lineage: Bacteria; Pseudomonadati; Pseudomonadota; Gammaproteobacteria.